GGGGAUGAAAAAAGAUUCGACAGAAUAGUUUGCCCAAAACAUGCACGCCGGUUUUCCUUGUUUCCGCAAAAAACAAGGAAGGCAAUACAAAUGCCAAUAUACAAAAACAACCUGAGUUAGCAUACGCCUAACUCACAUCCCCUAUUCUGACUCCUGAUAGGAAUAUGGGGGUGUCAACCCAUCAGGAAAACGUAAACUCUUUCCCAUAGGGAGUUUACGUUUCAUAAAAAUAUGGGUAUGCUUGCAGAAUUUUGCCAGAUUUUUACUGCAAGCAGAAAUAUAAAUCUGGCUAAGCAUGUAGAAUGUUUUGGGUGGCUAUUCUGGACGAGGGUGCGAAUCCCUCCAUCUCCAC
This 352-nucleotide transfer-messenger RNA is filed under the name bacterium HR34. Its description in RNAcentral is "transfer-messenger RNA, SsrA". It matches the Rfam family "transfer-messenger RNA". Rfam says of the family: Bacterial tmRNA, also known as 10Sa RNA or SsrA, is named for its dual tRNA and mRNA-like properties. Its role is to liberate the mRNA from a stalled ribosome. To accomplish this part of the tmRNA is used as a reading frame that ends in a translation stop signal. The record is from RNAcentral.